Molecule: ribosomal RNA, 329 nt
Filed under: uncultured eukaryote
Lineage: Eukaryota
Description: partial 18S ribosomal RNA
Rfam family: Eukaryotic small subunit ribosomal RNA
Source: RNAcentral
CCCUUAGAUGUUCUGGGCCGCACGCGCGCUACACUGACAGAGCCAACGAGUUCUUCACCUUGGCCGGAAGGUCUGGGUAAUCUUGUUAAACUCUGUCGUGCCGGGGAUAGAGCAUUGCAAUUAUUGCUCUUCAACGAGGAAUGCCUAGUAAGCGCGUGUCAUCAGCACGCGUUGAUUACGUCCCUGCCCUUUGUACACACCGCCCGUCGCUACUACCGAUUGAAUGGCUCAGUGAGGCCUUCGGACUGGCUCAGGGAGGUUGGCAACGACCACCCCGAGCCGGAAAGUUCGUCAAACUCGGUCAUUUAGAGGAAGUAAAAGUCGUAACA